AGAACAACAUGACUGAAGGCGAUGAGGAACAGCUGAUCACCUGUGGAAGUCAUUUGUCCUAAAUUGUCAUGGACAGACCAUGUGCCUUACAGCAAGAAAAUUCUGUGAAUAAACAGGAAGCCAGCCAGCCAGGGAAGAUGCUUUUGUGAUAUAUCCCAGCAUGCUGAUGACCCCAAGGAGGACCACUGGAUACCUAGCAAGGAAAAAGAAGAACUGAUUGAAGAGUGGCAACCAGAACCUCUUGUUCCUCCUGUCCCAAAAGACCAUCCUGCUCUCAACUACAACAUCGUUUCAGGGCAAUAUGAUAAAAUUGAAAAAUUUCACAAAUGUCAGGAGAACAAGAUCUGGUGUCUGGGUUUCAACUCUUAGAGCUUCCCAGCUCGUAGCUAUGCUCCUGAAUUCCUCUGGCAGCCCUCCUCAAGGACCUCUGUGAGACAAAGUCAGAAAUGACUUCACUGGAGACCAAGAGAGCCCACAGAGCUCUUCCUGCUGCUUCUUCUACCCUUGUACUCACUCGGCUCUCUAAAUUUGUCUCAGCUCCAGACACGUGGGAAGAUUACCUUUCUCUGAUGUCUUGGGAUUGAACUGAGCUAUGUGGCUAGUUACAGGCCAAUAGGCUGUUAGCAGAUGUGACAUCUAACACAACUAGGCUGCAGUUUGAAAUAAAUACCAGUGCACAGCCUCCAGAAUUCCUCCCCUGCUAAGGUGACUGAGAAGACCUCAGCUGAGAUGGUGGGAAAAAAAAAUAUUCAAGCAGCUUGGAUAACGAAGUUCCUAAAUGGAAGAACAUUGUCCCAGAGAGUCACUUGAACCCAGAAUAGAUUUACGUGAUCAGACAAUAAACCUCUAUGACACCCUGAGUUUAUUUUGUUUUUUGAUUUUGUUACUGCAGCAUAACUCAACAUACCCUGACUGGUAUAGUCAUGGAGAUUAUCAUCAGGAUCUCCUAUGCUCCUGCAUAUGACACAGCCAGAGUUCUGCAGACAUUUAACUUUGGGCAUCUAAAUAUCAUAAAUGC
RNAcentral lists this long non-coding RNA (1018 nucleotides) under Homo sapiens (human). RNAcentral describes it as "HSALNT0150956". Lineage: Eukaryota; Metazoa; Chordata; Mammalia; Primates; Hominidae. The record is from RNAcentral.